RNAcentral lists this ribosomal RNA (468 nucleotides) under uncultured bacterium. RNAcentral describes it as "partial 16S ribosomal RNA". It matches the Rfam family "Bacterial small subunit ribosomal RNA", at positions 28 to 507 of the family's 1533-position model. The record is from RNAcentral.
GACGAACGCUGGCGGCGUGCUUAACACAUGCAAGUCGAACGGAAAGGCCCUGCUUUUGUGGGGUGCUCGAGUGGCGAACGGGUGAGUAACACGUGAGUAACCUGCCCUUGACUUUGGGAUAACUUCAGGAAACUGGGGCUAAUACAGGAUAGGAGCUCCUGCUGCAUGGUGGGGGUUGGAAAGUUUCGGCGGUUGGGGAUGGACUCGCGGCUUAUCAGCUUGUUGGUGGGGUAGUGGCUUACCAAGGGUUUGACGGGUAGCCGGCCUGAGAGGGGGACCGGCGACAAUGGGCCUGCGAUACGGCCCAGAAUCGUAUGGGACGCAGCAGUGGGGAAUAUUGCACAAUGGGGGGGAGCCUGAGGCAGCAACGCCGCGUGCGGGAUGACGGCCUUCGGGUUGUAAACCGCUUUCGCCUGUGACGAAGCGUGAGUGACGGUAAUGGGUAAAGAAGCACCGGCUAACUACGUG